UACGUAGGGUGCAAGCGUUGUCCGGAAUUAUUGGGCGUAAAGAGCUCGUAGGCGGUUUGUCGCGUCUGCUGUGAAAAUCCAGGGCUUAACCCUGGACCUGCAGUGGGUACGGGCAGACUAGAGUGCGGUAGGGGAGAUCGGAAUUCCUGGUGUAGCGGUGAAAUGCGCAGAUAUCAGGAGGAACACCAGUGGCGAAGGCGCCACUCUGGGCCGUAACUGACGCUGAGGAGCGAAAGCGUGGGUAGCAAACAGG
This 253-nucleotide ribosomal RNA is filed under the name uncultured bacterium. Its description in RNAcentral is "partial 16S ribosomal RNA". It matches the Rfam family "Bacterial small subunit ribosomal RNA", at positions 524 to 776 of the family's 1533-position model. The record is from RNAcentral.